CCACCCUUUAUAUAGAUGUGAAAAGACAACAUUAGCUCUCAAACAGUUGAGACGGUUGGAUUCGCUUCUUUCAAAGUGGGGAUUAUGUUCUUCUAGCGAACAUGUUUGCAAGUGCUAGCCAAUGGAACAAAGUGACAAGAGUGAGAGAGGCAAUGAGAAACAGAGGAGUUCAGAAACCAGAGCCAGGUAAGAAGUUCUGGAAUGUGUUUCAUCUGCAGCCUAUGCAUGAUCAGAAGGUACAAUUCCAAAAAAAAAUAUCAUCUAAUUUCACAUUAUUUCCAUUGCUUUAUGAUUAUACAAUUCUAAAAAAAUGAGAACCAGAGGUUAACAGUACACAGACUGCUGAAAUUGAUGUUUUACCAAUAGAUCACUACUAUGAUGCCUUAGGAGGGCCUGAAUUGGAUACUCUCAGGGUACAUGGACUUUUGUUUUUUUUUUUUGCUGCUACUGUUGUUGUGCUCCAUUUGCUUCGUUCAGCUGACAGGAUAUUAUCUCUAUAAUUAUAAAUGUUGUUUCAAAGCAAGUGUGGAGUGCUACUAAUUUGGAGAGAUCUGACAUAAAUAAAGUCUUCUAUCGGUAUGAGAGCAUAAUCAAGUUCUCAAAUCUGCACUUGAUUGAGAAAGAUCUUAAUGGCAUUAGUGCUAACAUGGAAUGCAUAUGCAAAGUUAGUUAUUUAUGUGCAAAAAAAAAAAAAGAAAAAAAAAGGAGAAUGUGGUCCCAACCCAAUUGAGGAAGUUAUGCCCAAAGUGUAGUUAGCAUAGUGUCCCAGUGGGAAUCAGAAGUUUAACUGGUAAUGGUAUCAUCUCUCCUUAAUAGGGGCAAUAGUAAUGGACUGAAGACAACUGAAUCUGCUAAGGCAUCUA
Long non-coding RNA from Magnolia sinica, 863 nucleotides. RefSeq lists it as uncharacterized. The transcript has 3 exons. Lineage: Eukaryota; Viridiplantae; Streptophyta; Magnoliopsida; Magnoliales; Magnoliaceae. The record is from RefSeq and is a predicted model, not a curated record.